GAUGAACGCUGGCGGCGUGCCUAAUACAUGCAAGUCGAGCGAACAGAUAAGGAGCUUGCUCCUUUGACGUUAGCGGCGGACGGGUGAGUAACACGUGGGUAACCUACCUAUAAGACUGGAAUAACUCCGGGAAACCGGGGCUAAUGCCGGAUAACAUGUUGAACCGCAUGGUUCUAUAGUGAAAGACGGCUUUGCUGUCACUUAUAGAUGGAUCCGCGCCGCAUUAGCUAGUUGGUAAGGUAACGGCUUACCAAGGCAACGAUGCGUAGCCGACCUGAGAGGGUGAUCGGCCACACUGGAACUGAGACACGGUCCAGACUCCUACGGGAGGCAGCAGUAGGGAAUCUUCCGCAAUGGGCGAAAGCCUGACGGAGCAACGCCGCGUGAGUGAUGAAGGUCUUCGGAUCGUAAAACUCUGUUAUUAGGGAAGAACAAAUGCGUAAGUAACUGUGCGCGUCUUGACGGUACCUAAUCAGAAAGCCACGGCUAACUACGUG
Molecule: ribosomal RNA, 497 nt
Filed under: uncultured bacterium
Lineage: Bacteria
Description: partial 16S ribosomal RNA
Rfam family: Bacterial small subunit ribosomal RNA
Source: RNAcentral